RNAcentral lists this ribosomal RNA (253 nucleotides) under uncultured bacterium. RNAcentral describes it as "partial 16S ribosomal RNA". It matches the Rfam family "Bacterial small subunit ribosomal RNA", at positions 524 to 776 of the family's 1533-position model. The record is from RNAcentral.
UACGGAGGGUGCAAGCGUUGUCCGGAAUCACUGGGCGUAAAGGGCGCGUAGGCGGCUCAUGAAGGCUGUGGUGAAAGUCCGGGGCUCAACCUCGGAUCGGCCGUGGCGACUCGUGGGCUGGAGCACUGUAGAGGCGGAUGGAAUUCCGGGUGUAGCGGUGGAAUGCGUAGAGAUCCGGAAGAGCACCAGUGGCGAAGGCGGCCCGCUGGGCAGUGGCUGACGCUGAGGCGCGACAGCGUGGGGAGCAAACAGG